GUAACACGUAGUCAACAUCCCUAGGGGACGUGGAUAACCUCGGGAAACUGAGAAUAAACCGCGAUAGGUCACAAUUUCUGGAAUGGAUUUUGGCUUAAAUCUAUAUGGCCCCUGGAUUGGACUGCGGCCGAUCAGGCUGUUGGUGAGGUAAUGGCCCACCAAACCUGUAACCGGUACGGGCUCUGAGAGGAGGAGCCCGGAGAUGGGCACUGAGACAAGGGCCCAGGCCCUAUGGGGCGCAGCAGGCGCGAAACCCCUGCAAUGGGCGAAAGCCUGACAGGGUUACUCUGAGUGAUUUCCGCUAAGGGGAUCUUUUGACACCUCUAAAAAUGGUGUAGAAUAAGGGGUGGGCAAGUCUGGUGUCAGCCGCCGCGGUAAUACCAGCACCCCGAGUGGUCGGGACGAUUAUUGGGCCUAAAGCAUCCGUAGCCGGUUCUUCAAGUCUUCCGUUAAAUCCAGCCGCUCAACGGAUGGGCUGCGGAAGAUACUAUAGGACU
RNAcentral lists this ribosomal RNA (497 nucleotides) under uncultured archaeon. RNAcentral's name for it is "bacterial SSU rRNA". It matches the Rfam family "Archaeal small subunit ribosomal RNA", at positions 93 to 593 of the family's 1478-position model. The record is from RNAcentral.